Molecule: long non-coding RNA, 5564 nt
Filed under: Podarcis lilfordi (Lilford's wall lizard)
Lineage: Eukaryota; Metazoa; Chordata; Lepidosauria; Squamata; Lacertidae
Source: RNAcentral
GUAGAUGUCCCCCGUGGAUCCUGGGAUCCUUUCUCUUUAGCCGGCUUGACCUUGCCUUUGCUCCCCCUGGCUGGGCUUUUGGAGACGAUUGAUUACCGCCCGCAAAGAGGAGGCAGGGAGAGGAAGAAGGAUUCCUGGGCUAAGGUUGCCCAGUGGCGCCCGAUCCCCUCUAUCUCCCUCCUCACCUUCGCAGGAGAACCAAGUGUCCCUGAGCAUGGUCGCCAAACUGUUACCGGAAAAAUCCGAGGGCUCCCUUGGACAAAAUAAAGACACCAACCAGGAUAACUUGGAGCAAAACAGCAGCCUGUAGGCUUGGCCUUUAUUGAACUGUUGCAACAGGGUGUUCCCCUCACUUGCGAGAGAGAGGAAAGACCCAGAAAGAUGGUGUGCAAGACCUUAUAAAAACUUUUGAAAUUCCCAUCCUCUAGGUCAAGCCCACCCCCAGAAACAUCAUGCAUACAUUACAGAAAGGAGGGGUUGAGGGAGGAGUUGUGGUGGUAACCUGAGUGUCCUGUCACCUGGCUGGUUCCUCCUUUCCCCUCCCCAUGAGUCACUUCCAGGAGACAAAGGGGAGUUGGCAGUUUCCUGCCCCCAGAGGGAAGAUCUGAUCAUUGUCCUUUGUUUCAGUCCAUGCUGAAUCCACUCCCAUAUGCAAGUUCUUUGUGAUCUUGAUGGUCUUCUGUCUAGGACCAUCAGGGUUGGCAUAGCAACUGGGCAGGGCUCCUGUGGAUGUGCUGGGAUGGUGAAGGGAUUAUGGCUGACCAGAACCAAGCCACCCCCCUUUGAUAGUCCUUGUCAUAUGGAGUAAAAUAAAAACGGAACAGUGCAAAUCCGAUGUAUGGUUGAUUUUUCUAUGAAUUUAUAACAGAAGUGUGGCAUAUGUAGUGUGUGAGUGUGAGUGUGUGAAGUUUGUACAAACUGAAUGAUUGGGGUGGGGGGUUCCUGCUACACUUCCACAAAAUGCAGGCAGAAAUUCAACAGAUUCAAUAGGAGGCAAAUUGGUCAGACUCUGGAUUCAGGCUUCCCCAGAAUGACACACAGAACAACAAGGGAAGUUCUCUUUUUCUAAAAUUUAUUUUAAAAACCAAGAUUAAACAUACUUAAAAGUAGGCACAUCUCUUAUGUUUCAGACAGAAAAAUAAGAACAUUGUAGAGUAUUGCUAGCUAACGUACUUACAAAAUGAGAACAAUAGCAAAGGUUAGAGUAGCUCAGAAGUCCUCGGUUGAAUCUGCAUCUCAAAGACAGUAGGAAUCUUCAUCACAAAGACACGCAUACGAAUGUAGCAAGUCGACUGUCAGCAUGAUGGCAAACUGACAGAAGGGCAGAUCACAGAGCGCGCGCAAAAACUCCUUUCCUAGGGUCUUUAUUUUCCAAAACCCCACGUGGAAUCGGAACUCAAAUCCAAUCACAAUUCUUGAUUAUAUUUAAAUUCACCAAUGGUCAGCUAGUUGGGUAAUAUCUCAGCUUGUGACAGCUGAGGCUUGUUAGUUCUCAAGAUCUUGGAUCAAAGAUUCCCUCCCUAAAUUUCUCAGAGACACACCAGGUUCCCUUUCUCCUGUAAUGAGGCUUGAUAACCCUUGUUCGCACAGGGACAAUGCUUAAAAACCAGGUGUUAAAUUACUACUAAUCAACUAGAGGUUUUUUCCUUCCUGCAGAUGCCUGAGAUAAGCAAUCCACACUCUCAGAGACAACAAGUCUCCAGCUUAAGGCACCUGAAUAUUUCACUUUUUUAACUACUUCCAUCUCUACUUGUUGCUGCAUUUUAUCCGUUAUUUCUUGGUCCAUAUUUUUGACAAUUAUUUUGGUUUUUUUCUUAUUCAGUUUGAAUCCUGCCACUUGACCAAACUGAUCUAUCUCUUUCAACACUUCUAUUACUGAAUUUAUGGGAUCCUCCACAGUAAAACCAAGUCAUCGGCAAAAGCCUUGACUUUAUAUUUCUUACAUCCCACUGACACACCUUUUAUUUGUUCAUUAUUUCUUAUCAUCUUAAGUAAAACCUCCAGCACCACGGUGAAUAAUAACGGUGAAAGAGGACACCCCUGUCUUGUACCUUUUGUUAUUGCAAUAUUUUCAGUUGUCACAUUGUUAACUAUUAAUUUUGCUCUUUGCUCCGUAUAUAUUGCCUUAAUACCAUUUAAAAACGUUUGUUCCAUGUCCAUCAUUUCUAGAUUCUUUAACAUAAAUUCCCAUGAAAUAUUAUCAAAAGCCUUUUCCGCAUCCACAAAUAUUAACAUUGCUUGUUUAUCACUCCUGGCAGUCAGAUGUUCAAUUAUAUUGAUUAUGUUUCUUAUGUUAUCUUUCAUCUGUCUGCCUGGAAGAAACCCUGCUUGAUCCUUAUGUAUUAAUUCUUUUAAAACCUUUUUCAUUCUAUUUGCUAGUAUAUUUGCAAAUAGUUUAUAAUCAUUGUUUAAAAGUGAAAUAGGCCUAUAAUUUUUAACUUGGGACAAAUCGGAAUCUUGUUUGGGAAUAAAAGUUAUAUAAGCUUCCUUCCACGUUUCUGGUAUUUCCUUUCUUAUUAGUAUGUUGUUCAUUACUUCUUUCAAUGGUGCAAGUAGGGUGUCCUUCAUUUCUUUAUAGAAUCUCACGCUAAAGCCAUCCGGUCCUGGUGUUUUUCCACUUUUCAAUUCUUUAAUUGCACAAUUUAUUUCCUCUAUCUCAAUCAUCUCGUUUAGUUUAUUCUUUUUUUCAAUCGGAAUUUUCUGCACCCCUUUUUCUUUUUAAAAAAUCUUCAAUUUUUUUCUUAUUUACUUUUUCUUUUCUUUUAUACAAUUGUCUAUGGAAAUCCACAAAUCCUUUUCUAAUUCCUUUCGGAUCUUCAAACUCUUGAUCUUCUACUAUAAUUUUUUGUAUUGUAUUUUGCUCUUUCCUCUUUUUAAUCUGCCAGGCCAGAAGUUUUCCUGAUUUAUUUGCAUACUCAAAGUUCCUCUGCUUCAUUUUUUUGAUGUUCCAUUCUACUUCCUGACUUAUUAUCAUAGAAAAUUGCUACUGUAAUGUUUUGAUAUUCAAUUUCAAUUUCUUGUCCUGGGGUCUGGUAAUUAGCUUUUUCUCAUUCUCCAUUAUUUGUUUUAAGAUUUCUUUUCCCCCUUUUUCUCUAAAUUUGUUUUUAAUUGUAUUUGUUGGAUAAAGAAACCUCUCAUUACUGCCUUUCCAGCAUCCCAGACUGUACUCAUUUUUGUUCCUUGGUUCAUGUUAUUAUUAAAAUAAUCCUUCAAACACUCUUGUUUUCUACUAUUUUCUGGUCAUCAAAAAGAUUUUCAUUUAUUCUCCACGGGAAAGGUUUUUCCUCAAAUCCUUUUAAUAUACAUUUAAUCGCAUUAUGGUCCGAAAGUACCUUAGGUUGGAUUUCAAUCUUUGAUAUUCUUGGUGUUAAUUCAUUCGAUAUCCAUAUCUGAUCAAUUCUGGACAUUGAUUGAUUUGCCUCUGAAUGGAAGGUGAAUUGUUUUUCUAAUGGGUGCCUUAGUCUCCAAAUGUCAAUUAAAUUGCAGUUCUCUACCAUUGAGAAAAAUGUUUUUGGUAACUUCCCUUCCUUUGUUUUUCCUGUUACUCUUAAUCUGUCCAUUUCCACUGACACUACUGCAUUCAUAUCACCCAUUGUUAUUAUCUUUUGAUCCAUAUAUUCAAAUAAUUUAUCUUCCAAUUCUUUGAAAAAGUCCAUUUUGUUAUCAUUGGGUGCAUAUACUCCGACUAUUAUUAAUUUUUCACCUUGCCAUUUGACUUGUACUGCCACUAUUCUACCUUCUUCAUCUUUAAAAAUCUGUUGAGCCUCUAAUUUAUUUUUAAUAUAUAAUACCACCCCUCUCUUUUUGCUUUUGUCAGAUGAAAUGAAUUCAUUUCCUAAUUUUUUGUUCAUUAAUUUUUUUCUGUGUCUUCUCAUCACAUGUAUCUCCUGUAAACAAAUAAUGUCCAAAUUCUUUUUUAAAAAAAUAUUGUUGAAUUUUAUUUCUUUUUUCCCUAUCGUUCAUCCCAUUGACAUUCCAAGUCCAUAAUUUCAACGCCAUGAUGAUUCCGAAUUAAUUUUAAUAAUAAAUUUUGAUUCUAUUUCUCCUCUUCCUCUUCUUUCUCUUCUUUAUCUUCUUCAGAUUAUUGUGAACCUCCACCUUCCACCCCUGCUCCCAUUGCCUCUGCUGCUGCUUCUUCUCUUUCUAACUCUCUAUAUCUUCUCAGGAAUUUAACCAUUUCAUCCGGUCUUGUAAACCUGUGUCUUUUUCCUUUAUAAGCAAAUGAUAGCCCCUCUGGAAAUUCCCACCUGAAUUCAAUUUUGUUUUUCCUCAGUAUUUGCACCAGCUGUUGGUAAUGGUCGCGUUUCUUCAAUAAGCGAAGUGGGACGUCUUUAAAAAUAAUUAUAUAAUUUCCAUCAAUAUUUAAUCUUUUUUCUCUAUUCUUUUGCAAAAUUAGAUUUCUUAUUUCUCUAUCUUUGAAAAUAACUAAGCAAUCUCCAGGAAAUUUCUUUGCUUUGGUUGUCCUGACUUUAAUUCUGAAUGCUUUUUGUAUUGUCUUUGCAACAUCUUCUUCCUGCAUCUCUAACCAUUGGGCAAUCUCUUUAAUGAGUUUCUCCUUUAUUUCUUCUCCUUGAGCCUCUGGUACCAAUCUAAAUCUCAAAUUAUUUUCUCUUUGUCUCAGUUCAUUCAUAGCAAUAGCGUCUCACAGUUCUUCUUGAGCUCUAUUCACCUCUGACACCUCUGCUUUAAUUUUUUCUUCCUCCUUCUUAAUUUCCCUAAGAUCUAAUUUAGUCUUCUUCAUCCCUUCUUCCAAAUUUUGUGUCCUUUUUGUCAUUUCCUUCAUCUGUCCUUUUAUCUCAUUAACUGAUUCAUCAAUUUUUUUUACAGUCACAUCUAUUUUUUUAUCCAUUUGUUCCAAUUUUGUUUCAAUAUUUUUCUCACUUUUCCUUAUUUCUGAUUUCAAAUCUGAUUUAAGUUCUGUAAACAUCUUUAUUAAGUCUCCUUUAAUUUCAGAUUCUUGCCUAGAACCCUUUCUUUCUGCAGGUGUCCCUCCUUCCCCUUUCUUCUGUGUGUGAGACAUUCUAAUAAGCUGUUCUGAAAUAACUCCAAUAAAGAUAUCCACCAGGGGGAGUCAAAUUAAAACAAUAGUUCCCGGCCACAAGAUCAAAAAUUGAGUUCAAUAAAAGUCCCAAAAAUUUCCAAAAAUUAUUUCAUUUCCUUCAUGCCACUUGAAUGGCCACAUCCAAUAUUUAUGAUUGUAUUCCAAAAAGCCACCAAUGUAAAAUAAAUGUAAAACUUUCCAAAGCCAAGUCCUUUAAAAAACCUCAACCAAAUCCCUCAUAGAAAGCAGAAGAAAGGCAAAAAUAUAAUCCAUAUACACCAAAUAAGAAGAGCAGAGUUCAAUUGAGAGAGGGAAAAAGUUAAGUCCACAAUCCGCAGUCUUAUAAAGGGGAGAAAGUUAAAUCCACAGUCCACAGUCUUAUAAAGGGGAGAGAUUGUGCUUCAUCUAUUCCGGAAAUCAAAAUGGCGAUUCCCAACAAAAGAGUGGGGGUGCAAUCUCCAGGAAAUCCAAGCCGCUUAAAAAGCACUUUGACUAUGUCCCUUAAAUACUUAGACUCCAACAC